This 497-nucleotide ribosomal RNA is filed under the name uncultured bacterium. Its description in RNAcentral is "partial 16S ribosomal RNA". It matches the Rfam family "Bacterial small subunit ribosomal RNA", at positions 28 to 507 of the family's 1533-position model. The record is from RNAcentral.
GACGAACGCUGGCGGCGUGCCUAAUACAUGCAAGUUGAGCGCUGAAGGUUGGUACUUGUACCAACUGGAUGAGCAGCGAACGGGUGAGUAACGCGUGGGGAAUCUGCCUUUGAGCGGGGGACAACAUUUGGAAACGAAUGCUAAUACCGCAUAAAAACUUUAAACACAAGUUUUAAGUUUGAAAGAUGCAAUUGCAUCACUCAAAGAUGAUCCCGCGUUGUAUUAGCUAGUUGGUGAGGUAAAGGCUCACCAAGGCGAUGAUACAUAGCCGACCUGAGAGGGGGAACGGCCACAUUGGGGAUGAGAAACAGCCCAAACUCCUACAGGAGGCAGCAGUAGGGAAUCUUCGGCAAUGGACGAAAGUCAGAACGAGCAACGCCGCGUGAGUGGAGAAGGUUUUCGGAUCGUAAAACUCUGUUGGUAGAGAAGAACGUUGGUGGGAGUGAAAAGCUCAUCAAGUGACGGUAACUACCCAGAAAGGGACGGCUAACUACGUG